Molecule: ribosomal RNA, 328 nt
Filed under: uncultured bacterium
Lineage: Bacteria
Description: bacterial SSU rRNA
Rfam family: Bacterial small subunit ribosomal RNA
Source: RNAcentral
UGGAGCAUGUGGUUUAAUUCGAAGCAACGCGAAGAACCUUACCAAAUCUUGACAUCCUCUGACCCCUCUAGAGAUAGAGUUUUCCCCUUCGGGGGACAGAGUGACAGGUGGUGCAUGGUUGUCGUCAGCUCGUGUCGUGAGAUGUUGGGUUAAGUCCCGCAACGAGCGCAACCCUUAAGCUUAGUUGCCAUCAUUAAGUUGGGCACUCUAAGUUGACUGCCGGUGACAAACCGGAGGAAGGUGGGGAUGACGUCAAAUCAUCAUGCCCCUUAUGAUUUGGGCUACACACGUGCUACAAUGGACAAUACAAAGGGUAGCGAAACCGCGA